GCCCGGUGUGCUCGAGGUCCGCCUGCGACAUGACGGACACGUGGCGGAAGCUCGACGAGGAGGUCGCGGCGACGCCGAUGCCGGAGAUCUACCUGACGAAGAUGGUAAGCAGCAGAUCGCUAACUCCCCACACACGACCCUGCAGGUCGGAUGCCGAUUGCUGAAGCUGAACGAUGGAUGGACUGCAGGUGUGGAUCCUGUGCAACGACUGCAGCGCGACGUCGAGCGUGCGGUUCCACGUGCUGGGGCAGAAGUGCCCCGGGUGCAGCUCCUACAACACCCGGGAGACAAGGGCCGGCCCGGCGCUCGCCGCGCGCUCCAGAGUUUGAGCAGAGGCCCACGCCACAAACGCCGAGGAGGUUCAUUCGAAGCCCAAAGCGUCCAUGUCCACCAGGUACAUCAUG
This 404-nucleotide long non-coding RNA is filed under the name Setaria italica (foxtail millet). RNAcentral describes it as "long non-coding RNA (SITA_LNC006695)". Lineage: Eukaryota; Viridiplantae; Streptophyta; Magnoliopsida; Poales; Poaceae. The record is from RNAcentral.